GUCACCAUCACCGCCACCGCGACAGCCACAACCCCCUUUCACCACCACAACCUUUCACCACCGUCAUCACACCGCCACCUCCCAUCACUCCUCUCUCUUUCUCUUUCUCUCUAGAUGGGUUUCUGUUGCAAGCUCUCUGGCGGCUCUAGGGUUACAAAACCUCCCACUCUUAUCAAUUUUGGGAAUCUGGUCUUUAGAAACACACGAAACCGAGUCCUCUAA
This 222-nucleotide long non-coding RNA is filed under the name Helianthus annuus (common sunflower). Its description in RNAcentral is "sRNA HanXRQr2_Chr04g0191071". The record is from RNAcentral. Lineage: Eukaryota; Viridiplantae; Streptophyta; Magnoliopsida; Asterales; Asteraceae.